RNAcentral lists this ribosomal RNA (229 nucleotides) under Crypthecodinium cohnii. RNAcentral describes it as "partial Bacterial small subunit ribosomal RNA". It matches the Rfam family "Bacterial small subunit ribosomal RNA", at positions 1216 to 1444 of the family's 1533-position model. Lineage: Eukaryota; Dinophyceae; Gonyaulacales; Crypthecodiniaceae. The record is from RNAcentral.
ACACACGUGCUACAAUGGUCGGUACAGAGGGUUGCCAAGCCGCGAGGUGGAGCUAAUCCCAGAAAACCGAUCGUAGUCCGGAUCGCAGUCUGCAACUCGACUGCGUGAAGUCGGAAUCGCUAGUAAUCGCGGAUCAGCAUGCCGCGGUGAAUACGUUCCCAGGCCUUGUACACACCGCCCGUCACGUCAUGAAAGUCGGUAACACCCGAAGCCGGUGGCCCAACCCGUA